CAACAUUCUUCCAUGUUUCCUGUUUCUUUACCUUUCUAUGCUGAAUUCUGGGAACUUUUUUCAGCCUCAAUUUCCAGGUUAUUGAUCGUCUCUUCAGCUGUGUAUCAUUUGUCCUUUCUCUCAUUCUUCACAAGAUUUUUUUCUUCCCUUAGAAGUUCUCUUUGACUAAUUUUCUAUUGUGCCUGGUCAUUUUGGUUGUCCCUUUACUCUGCUUAUUGACUUCACCUUUUAUCUCUUUAAACUGCUUGAUAUAGAUCUACUUUAUUUUCUUUAUCUGAUAAUGCUAUUUUCUCCUAUGGAUGGCUUAAAUUUCUUCUUUUUUCUAUUGAUUUUCUCUCAUGGUGGCCUAUUAUUUUUCGUUUUAUAUAUAAUUUUUUUUUGUUCAUAUGUAAUUGAACAAAUAUUGACUGCUGAGAAUUUAACUUGUGACAAUUACAGGGGACCUCAAAUUUCUACCUUUAUCCAGGCACGAAUACAUCAUUUUAGAAGAGAGAAGAACAAAUGCACACUUUUGAGUAUGGAAAUACUGUGAUGUCACCAAUCUCUGCUGUUUCAUGGCAAGGAAAAUGAUCUUCUACCAUCAUUCCUGGGAUGGGACAUGUGCCAUAUCAGUGUAAAAUUAAACUGUUGAUUAAUUGUUGUCAAUAUGAUUUUAGCUAAAUCCAGUACUUAUACCAUAAUCUCAUUCAAUUCUAAUGGUAUCUCUAGUUCAACCAAGCUUAAUUUAUCAAUAACUCAAAUAUCUCAACUCACAUAUUUUCUCAUUCUACUUUUAUUCUUGGAUUUCACAUUGAUUUUAUCCAAAAUAAAUUCUCUUUGGAAAAAGAAGAGUAUAAUUAAUAUAUAAAUGUUAGCAAAUAAAAUAAAUAAUAUCUUGCAUGAAUAUAUUUGGAGGAAUUUCAGAAACUUAGCAUUGUGCCCUUGUAAAUUAUGCCUUCAAAAAUAUUUCUCUAGUUUUCUUGUCUAAUUUGAAGAAAUGCCUCUAAUGUUAGGAAUUGCAAACUAUGUUAAGGGGAAAGUAAAUCAAUUACACAAUGGGGUACUGAAAAGGAAUUUUAUGGGAAUGACUGGUUUUAAUUACCUCAAAAUACAAUGCAAUUGUCAAUACUGUUUUUAGAUUAAAGUUUAUUGCAGUGACCGAGAACCUCAAAUCCCUACUCCAAAUGAUAACCACAUCUUUCACCUUAUCAAGCCUCAGAAAGAGAGAGACUAUUUGCCACUGAUUUAAAGUUCAGAAAACUCUGAAUUUUAUUUGUAAUCUCUAAUGAUGAAAGCUGUCCUUAGGAUAACUUCAAAUUCUUCUCAUCAGUUUCUUCCCCUUCUAUUCUAAAUAGUACUAAGUAUUCAAGUUCUGACAUCUUUAAUUUCUCAAUAUCUUUUUAAAUAAUUUCAUUUUGUUAUCCUUUAUUGUGUUUCUCUCUCUUAUUUGAUAAAAAUUCUUGAAUACUCAUCUAUCUUCUCCCUGUCACAUCAUCCUGAUCCUGAAUGUGAAAGUUUAUUUUAUACUUAACUCCACUUAAACUGCUUUUGUUGAAAUCACCCUUGCUCCUCUUUUGUUCAAAUCCAAAGGCUUCUCUCUUAAUACUUUUCAGUCACUUUCUCGUGUUUUAGGCUCUUGAUCAUAUU
RNAcentral lists this long non-coding RNA (1626 nucleotides) under Equus caballus (horse). RNAcentral describes it as "lncRNA (ENSECAG00000054792.1)". Lineage: Eukaryota; Metazoa; Chordata; Mammalia; Perissodactyla; Equidae. The record is from RNAcentral.